RNAcentral lists this ribosomal RNA (253 nucleotides) under uncultured bacterium. RNAcentral's name for it is "partial 16S ribosomal RNA". It matches the Rfam family "Bacterial small subunit ribosomal RNA", at positions 524 to 776 of the family's 1533-position model. The record is from RNAcentral.
UACGGAGGGUGCAAGCGUUAUCCGGAUUCACUGGGUUUAAAGGGUGCGUAGGUGGGCAGGUAAGUCAGUGGUGAAAUCUCCGGGCUUAACCCGGAAACUGCAAUUGAUACUAUCUGUCUUGAAUACCGUGGAGGUGAGCGGAAUAUGUCAUGUAGCGGUGAAAUGCUUAGAUAUGACAUAGAACACCAAUUGCGAAGGCAGCUCACUACGCGAAUAUUGACACUGAGGCACGAAAGCGUGGGGAGCAAACAGG